CGCACGGGUGGGUAACACGUAUCCAACCUGCCGUCUACUCUUGGACAGCCUUCUGAAAGGAAGAUUAAUACAAGAUGGCAUCAUGAGUUCACAUGUUCACAUGAUUAAAGGUAUUCCGGUAGACGAUGGGGAUGCGUUCCAUUAGAUAGUAGGCGGGGUAACGGCCCACCUAGUCUUCGAUGGAUAGGGGUUCUGAGAGGAAGGUCCCCCACAUUGGAACUGAGACACGGUCCAA
Molecule: ribosomal RNA, 235 nt
Filed under: uncultured bacterium
Lineage: Bacteria
Description: partial 16S ribosomal RNA
Rfam family: Bacterial small subunit ribosomal RNA
Source: RNAcentral